GGCGAUUUAGCUCAGUUGGUUAGAGCGUGUGCUUAACACUUGGAUCCCUACGCACAGCAGCAACUGUCCGGUGAAGAGUUACGCACAAGGUCGGCGGUUCGACCCCGUCAAACGUCA
Apiotrichum porosum is the source of this 117-nucleotide non-coding RNA. The record is from the annotation of a RefSeq genome assembly. Lineage: Eukaryota; Fungi; Basidiomycota; Tremellomycetes; Trichosporonales; Trichosporonaceae.